GAACUCGUGAAUGUUGUGUAUAUUAGUCUGUGCCUAGAAAACUCUCAGCGUGAUGAAAUGCUACCGUACUAUACUAUGAGGAGCAAACCUUCCCAGAAGCGAAGACUAAAGGGAGCAUUUAUUUAAAGUCUUUGAAAAUUUGUUACCUGUAUCAUCCAACUGAAAGUCUUGCCCAGUGAACUCUCCGCCUGGUACCGGACAUGGUUGCUCUUCACUUACUGGUCAUGUAUGGUUAGGCUGAUGCAACCUUAAACCAGAGUGUCCGUUCUCAACCUGUAGCUUGCGACCUCAUCGGCAAACCACUACCUGCAAUAACAUUUACAUUAUGAUUCAUAUCAGUAGCAAAAUCACAGCUAUGAAGUAGCAACAAAAAUAA
Molecule: long non-coding RNA, 376 nt
Filed under: Mus pahari (shrew mouse)
Lineage: Eukaryota; Metazoa; Chordata; Mammalia; Rodentia; Muridae
Description: lncRNA (MGP_PahariEiJ_G0004496.1)
Source: RNAcentral